This 930-nucleotide ribosomal RNA is filed under the name uncultured Chloroflexota bacterium. RNAcentral's name for it is "bacterial SSU rRNA". It matches the Rfam family "Bacterial small subunit ribosomal RNA", at positions 8 to 905 of the family's 1533-position model. Lineage: Bacteria; Bacillati; Chloroflexota. The record is from RNAcentral.
AGAGUUUGAUCAUGGCUCAGGAUGAACGCUGGCGGCGUGCCUAACACAUGCAAGUCGAACGGUCCUGGAAGCUGGAAGCUGGCGACUGGAGACUAGCUUGCUAGCGACCAGUAACUGGCAACUGGCAACCAGGAUAGUGGCGAACGGGUGAGUAACACGUAGGUGACCUGCCCCGAAGAGGGGGAUAACCGCUGGAAACGGCGGCUAAUACCCCAUGUAGUCGUGAGGGUUAGAGGCCUCAUGAUUAAAGCUCCGGCGCUUUGGGAGGGGCCUGCGGCUUAUCAGCUAGUUGGUGGGGUAAUGGCUCACCAAGGCAAUGACGGGUAGCUGGUCUGAGAGGACGAUCAGCCACAUGGGCACUGAGACACGGGCCCGACUCCUACGGGAGGCAGCAGUGAGGGAUAUUGCGCAAUGGGCGAAAGCCUGACGCAGCAACGCCGCGUGGGCGAUGAAGGCCUUCGGGUUGUAAAGCCCUUUUCUGGGGGAAGAGGAAGGACGGUACCCCAGGAAUAAGACCCGGCUAACUACGUGCCAGCAGCCGCGGUAAAACGUAGGGGACAAGUGUUAUCCGGAUUCACUGGGCGUAAAGCGCGUGCAGGUGGUGCUUUAAGUUGGGCGUGAAAUCUCCCGGCUUAACUGGGAGGAGUCGUUCAAUACUGGAGCACUUGAGGGCAGGAGAGGGAGGUGGAAUUCCCGGUGUAGUGGUGAAAUGCGUAGAUAUCGGGAGGAACACCAGUGGCGAAGGCGGCCUCCUGGCCUGCUUCUGACACUAAGACGCGAAAGCUAGGGGAGCAAACGGGAUUAGAUACCCCGGUAGUCCUAGCCGUAAACGAUGGAUACUAGGUGUGGGUGGCAUUGACCCCAUCCGUGCCGAAGCUAACGCGAUAAGUAUCCCGCCUGGGGACUACGGCCGCAAGGUUAAAACUCAAA